AGGGGGUAUCUAAUUUCCCAAACUGGGAUUAGAUACCCCACUAUGCUUAGCCCUAAACACAGAUAAUUACAUAAACAAAAUUAUUCGCCAGAGUACUACUAGCAACAGCUUAAAACUCAAAGGACUUGGCGGUGCUUUAUAUCCUUCUAGAGGAGCCUGUUCUAUAAUCGAUAAACCCCGAUAAACCUCACC
RNAcentral lists this ribosomal RNA (192 nucleotides) under Bos taurus (domestic cattle). RNAcentral's name for it is "partial small subunit ribosomal RNA". The record is from RNAcentral. Lineage: Eukaryota; Metazoa; Chordata; Mammalia; Artiodactyla; Bovidae.